GGUGAUAUGAACCGUUAUAACCGGCGAUACCCGAAUGGGGAAACCCAGUGUGAUUCGUCACACUAUCAUUAACUGAAUCCAUAGGUUAAUGAGGCGAACCGGGGGAACUGAAACAUCUAAGUACCCCGAGGAAAAGAAAUCAACCGAGAUUCCCCCAGUAGCGGCGAGCGAACGGGGAGGAGCCCAGAGCCUGAAUCAGCAUGUGUGUUAGUGGAAGCGUCUGGAAAGGCGCGCGAUACAGGGUGACAGCCCCGUACACAAAAGCGCAUGUGCUGUGAGCUCGAUGAGUAGGGCGGGACACGUGGUAUCCUGUCUGAAUAUGGGGGGACCAUCCUCCAAGGCUAAAUACUCCUGACUGACCGAUAGUGAACCAGUACCGUGAGGGAAAGGCGAAAAGAACCCCGGCGAGGGGAGUGAAAAAGAACCUGAAACCGUGUACGUACAAGCAGUGGGAGCACCCUUCGGGGUGUGACUGCGUA
This 479-nucleotide ribosomal RNA is filed under the name Salmonella enterica subsp. enterica serovar Typhimurium. RNAcentral describes it as "partial 23S ribosomal RNA". It matches the Rfam family "Bacterial large subunit ribosomal RNA", at positions 85 to 603 of the family's 2925-position model. Lineage: Bacteria; Pseudomonadati; Pseudomonadota; Gammaproteobacteria; Enterobacterales; Enterobacteriaceae. The record is from RNAcentral.